This 778-nucleotide ribosomal RNA is filed under the name uncultured bacterium. RNAcentral describes it as "bacterial SSU rRNA". It matches the Rfam family "Bacterial small subunit ribosomal RNA", at positions 78 to 875 of the family's 1533-position model. The record is from RNAcentral.
AGCGAUUGAAAAGUUAGUGGCGGACGGGUGAGUAACGCGUGGGUAACCUGCCUUGUACUGGGGGACAACAGUUGGAAACGACUGCUAAUACCGCAUAAGCGCACAGCUUCGCAUGAAGCAGUGUGAAAAACUCCGGUGGUACAAGAUGGACCCGCGUCUGAUUAGCUGGUUGGUGAGGUAACGGCCCACCAAGGCAACGAUCAGUAGCCGGCCUGAGAGGGUGAACGGCCACAUUGGGACUGAGACACGGCCCAAACUCCUACGGGAGGCAGCAGUGGGGAAUAUUGCGCAAUGGGGGAAACCCUGAUGCAGCAACGCCGCGUGAGUGAAGAAGUAUUUCGGUAUGUAAAGCUCUAUCAGCAGGAAAGAAAAUGACGGUACCUGACUAAGAAGCCCCGGCUAACUACGUGCCAGCAGCCGCGGUAAUACGUAGGGGGCAAGCGUUAUCCGGAUUUACUGGGUGUAAAGGGAGCGUAGACGGUUUUGCAAGUCUGAAGUGAAAGCUCGGGGCUUAACCCCGGGACUGCUUUGGAAACUGUAGAACUAGAGUGCAGGAGAGGUAAGUGGAAUUCCUAGUGUAGCGGUGAAAUGCGUAGAUAUUAGGAGGAACACCAGUGGCGAAGGCGGCUUACUGGACUGUAACUGACGUUGAGGCUCGAAAGCGUGGGGAGCAAACAGGAUUAGAUACCCUGGUAGUCCACGCCGUAAACGAUGAUUACUAGGUGUUGGUGGGUAUGACCCAUCGGUGCCGCAGCAAACGCAAUAAGUAAUCCACCUG